This 301-nucleotide unclassified non-coding RNA is filed under the name uncultured fungus. RNAcentral describes it as "sequence contains ITS1". The stretch from base 1 to 106 matches the Rfam family "5.8S ribosomal RNA", at positions 50 to 154 of the family's 154-position model. Lineage: Eukaryota; Fungi. The record is from RNAcentral.
GAAAUGCGAUAAGUAAUGCGAAUUGCAGAAUUUUAGUGAGUCAUCGAAUCUUUGAACGCACAUUGCGCCCUUUGGCAUUCCGAGGGGCAUGCCUGUCCGAGCGUCAUUAUCAACCGUCAAGCCUGGCUUGCCGUUGAGUCUCGCCCCCGACCGGGCCGGCUCGAAAGGCAAUGACGGCGUCGGUCGGACCCUAGAUGCAACGAGCUUUCCAUAGCACGCAUCGAAGCGGCUGGCCGCGCCCGUCCCACCUCUAUUUUUUUAGGUUGACCUCGGAUCAGGUAGGAAUACCCGCUGAACUUAA